Molecule: ribosomal RNA, 160 nt
Filed under: uncultured bacterium
Lineage: Bacteria
Description: partial 16S ribosomal RNA
Rfam family: Bacterial small subunit ribosomal RNA
Source: RNAcentral
UAGGGAAUCUUCCGCAAUGGACGAAAGUCUGACGGAGCAACGCCGCGUGAGUGAAGAAGGUUUUCGGAUCGUAAAACUCUGUUGUUAGGGAAGAACAAGUCAGGUAGUAACUGACCUGACCUCGACGGUACCUAACCAGAAAGCCACGGCUAACUACGUG